Molecule: ribosomal RNA, 424 nt
Filed under: Verrucomicrobiota bacterium
Lineage: Bacteria; Pseudomonadati; Verrucomicrobiota
Description: Verrucomicrobia bacterium partial 16S ribosomal RNA
Rfam family: Bacterial small subunit ribosomal RNA
Source: RNAcentral
UGAGGAAUAUUGGUCAAUGGACGAGAGUCUGAACCAGCCAAGUCGCGUGAAGGAAGACUGCCCGCAAGGGUUGUAAACUUCUUUUGUAUGGGAUUAAAGUCACCUACGUGUAGGUGUUUGCAGUUACCAUACGAAUAAGCAUCGGCUAACUCCGUGCCAGCAGCCGCGGUAAUACGUAGGGGGCUAGCGUUGUCCGGAAUCACUGGGCGUAAAGGGUUCGCAGGCGGAAAUGCAAGUCAGGUGUAAAAGGCAGUAGCUUAACUACUGUAAGCAUUUGAAACUGCAUAUCUUGAGAAGAGUAGAGGUAAGUGGAAUUUUUAGUGUAGCGGUGAAAUGCGUAGAUAUUAAAAAGAAUACCGGUGGCGAAGGCGACUUACUGGGCUCAUUCUGACGCUGAGGAACGAAAGCGUGGGUAGCAAACAGG